GACAGAGGGUGCAAGCGUUGUUCGGAAUUAUUGGGCGUAAAGCGCACGUAGGCGGACCGAUAAGUUGACUGUGAAAGCCCUGGGCUCAACCCAGGAAGUGCAUUCAAUACUGUCGGCCUUGAGUCCCGGAGAGGGUGGUGGAAUUCCCAGUGUAGAGGUGAAAUUCGUAGAUAUUGGGAGGAACAUCGGUGGCGAAGGCGACCACCUGGACGGAGACUGACGCUGAGGUGCGAAAGCGUGGGUAGCAAACAGG
This 253-nucleotide ribosomal RNA is filed under the name uncultured bacterium. Its description in RNAcentral is "partial 16S ribosomal RNA". It matches the Rfam family "Bacterial small subunit ribosomal RNA", at positions 524 to 776 of the family's 1533-position model. The record is from RNAcentral.